GCGCCCGUAGCUCAGCUGGAUAGAGCAACAGCCUUCUAAGCUGUGGGCCACAAGUUCGAAUCUUGUCGGGCGUA
This 74-nucleotide transfer RNA is filed under the name Ignavibacteria bacterium. RNAcentral describes it as "tRNA-Arg". It matches the Rfam family "tRNA". Rfam says of the family: Transfer RNA (tRNA) molecules are approximately 80 nucleotides in length. Their secondary structure includes four short double-helical elements and three loops (D, anti-codon, and T loops). Lineage: Bacteria; Pseudomonadati; Ignavibacteriota; Ignavibacteria. The record is from RNAcentral.